UUUUGCGGAUUUCUUCGGAAUGAAGUUUUAGUGACUGAGUGGCGGACGGGUGAGUAACGCGUGGGUAACCUGCCUCACACAGGGGGAUAACAGUUGGAAACGGCUGCUAAUACCGCAUAAGCGCACAGUACCGCAUGGUACAGUGUGAAAAACUCCGGUGGUGUGAGAUGGAUCCGCGUCUGAUUAGCCAGUUGGCGGGGUAACGGCCCACCAAAGCGACGAUCAGUAGCCGACCUGAGAGGGUGACCGGCCACAUUGGAACUGAGACACGGUCCAAACUCC
RNAcentral lists this ribosomal RNA (282 nucleotides) under uncultured Lachnospiraceae bacterium. RNAcentral's name for it is "partial 16S ribosomal RNA". It matches the Rfam family "Bacterial small subunit ribosomal RNA", at positions 70 to 339 of the family's 1533-position model. Lineage: Bacteria; Bacillati; Bacillota; Clostridia; Lachnospirales; Lachnospiraceae. The record is from RNAcentral.